Molecule: long non-coding RNA, 1694 nt
Organism: Neogale vison (American mink)
Lineage: Eukaryota; Metazoa; Chordata; Mammalia; Carnivora; Mustelidae
Exons: 3
Source: RefSeq, a predicted model, not a curated record
GCAAGAAGCCACAUGUGGGACUCGAUCCCAGAUCAUGAUCGGAGCCAACCGAAGACACAAGCCACCCAGGAAAACAGCUUCUCAAUGAAAAGCCAUUCCUUGGAAAAGAAUCACCUCCAGCAGGAGAUGGCCUGAAUGAAGAUUGUACUGCCAUUGAAGGGCUGGCUGAUGUCAUAAGCUGCCUUUUUCUGCUUCUGGAAAGCCCUAUCGACACAUCAUCACAUAGGGGUGGACCCCAGCUUGUUACUUAGGUCCCUACUCAAAUGUAACUUGCUCAGAGAAGCCUUCCCUGAGGACUCUCCCUGCCUGCCAGAGAUACUGUGUAUCAUGUUACUAUGAUUAAUUUCUUCAUUACAUCUAUCUCUGCAAUUAUUUGUUUUAUGUAGGUUGAAUUAUUCUUUGUUUACAUGGUGAAUUUCUGUUUUUCUCUCUCUUACAAGGAUGCUCUCUGAGCCCUCAACCUUAUCUGCUUUAUUUAUCAUGGCAGCCCCAUAAUGAAAACAGAUCCAGGCCGAUAGUUCGUGUGCUGAUUGAAUGAAUAAGCCUAUCUCCUAAGCAAUUUCAGCGUGGAAGAGAUUCUCAGUAGUUAGAAGUGAAGGGUGCUGUGUCUGUCAGGGUUCAAUUGCAAAGAAUAGAAUCCAUUUUAGCCCACGUAAGCAGAAAGGGAUUAACUGUAGCAUGUGGUUUAUGGAAUCCCUGAGAGGGCUGAAGAAACAACCUCCAGGUUGGGCUUUCAAGAACAACCUGGAAAGCCACACACUGACUGAGCCCCCAAGGGAGCAUUCAGGAGCGUUCAGGAGCCCUCUCUCCUGCCGGACCAGGAAGCUGAAGUGUCCUCUGCUGGCUCUGAGACCCAACCAUGACUGCCAGGAUCACGAAGUUAGCACGAGAAGGUCAGCACUGUCAGGAGCUGUCAAGAUUGGGAAACUGCCCUGGAAAAACCAGGUACUGUCAUCUCUGCGUUGGCCAAAAGAAAGAGCAAAACGACCAAUGCUUCUGCUUCGGCUUCCCUGAUCUCCUGGCUCUUGUGCUUCUGAUUAGUGAGACAAAUUAAAACUAAAACCCUGGCUGCUGACAGGUCUGGGAGACGUGGAUUUUUGCUCUCCAGUUUCUGCAGCCCAAGAAGGCAUUUUGGGACGCUGAGGGCCGGGCCACCUAGAACACAGGUACGGUGCCACGGAAGGAUGGAGAGAUGAGUGAUAAAAAAGUAAAUGAAUCUUCAAGUUUAUAUCUGCCAGGAAAUAUGUAUUCAUACUAAAAAAACAGCCGAAUAAUCAAGAGUCCCUUGUAGGUAGUACUGAUCAGUAGCAUUUACACGACUUCAGAAAUACUUACUUUUCCCCAAUGAUGCGCAGCAUGUCUGUGACCACGAGUAGCAUCGCGGCCCUGAAGCAGCAGUCUCAGACGAACCAAGCUCCAUAAAACCAUGAUCCGAGAUCUCCUGGAGGUCAGAGCAGUUUAUAGCUUACAGCUCAAAAAGUGUGAGAUUUGUUCAGCCUGAGCACUGACUUUCAUAGCUGGCCAUGUUCAUUUAUUUCUAGUUUAGAGCACUGGUUUAAACGGAAGUCUUAGAAAAGGCUUAAACUGCAUAGAAUCUCGGAUUGGCAAUUUUUAUGUUGGCUAAGCAAAAAAGUCCUUUACUUGAUUUAUUUUUUAUUAUUUGACAUCUAUAAAGUUUUCUUUAUUUGAACAAA